CAGAAUACUGGACCCCAGCUAAGAACGACUGCUGUGACGUUAUUUCUGGGGGAUUGCGCAACAUCACCACACGAUACAUCAAGGUUUUCAGAUCGAUUGUCCAUUAAGGCAAAAGAUCAUUUAAUUCUACUACAACAGAUGGCGAGUCAAUGGCAGGAGGUUCAAUUUUUCCCUUAAUUUCAGCAGAAUUAAAAGGAGCCAUAUUUUAUUUCGGGCAGCAAAAAGGCCGGCAUUGAGGGUAGACAGCGGACAUGGACCCGGUUACCACAGGGGUCCAUGACUAGCCCAUCGGAAUAUAGUUGCAAGCUAAAGGUGGUAUUAGACCAGUGGGUGCCAGAGGAUCCGGAGGUCGCACUGUUACAAUAUGUGGGCGAUCUAUUAGUUUGUUGCCCGGACAAGGAUUCAUACUAUAGACACACUAUCUCGCUACUGAACCAUCUGGCAUCCACUGGGAAUAAGGCUAGCAAGGAAAAAUUGCAGUUUUGUAAGGAGAAGGUUAUUUUUCUAGGCCUCUGUAUCUCAAAAGGGACCCAACACCUAACAACACAACAGAUACAGACUCUCAAAGACUUCACCCGACCUCGUAAUGCCCGACAGUUGAGAGCCCUUCUAGGUCUGAUCAAUUACAGCAGAGAUUGGAUCCCUAAUAUUUUAUUCAGAAUGGGUCCUCUCUAUACUUUCUGUGUUAUUACAGAAAGUUGGUGACAUAGUUUUAGAUUCCCCUCUAACCUUUCUCAUCCCACACUCUGUCCAAGAGAUUCUCAACCAGGUCCAGACCAAACAUCUUUCAGCAGCACGUCUGACCAAAUCUGAAGUGACUCUCCUUACCCCUACUAACCUCACACUGAGACGAUGUACAAUCCUCAAUCCCGCAUCUCUUCUUCCGACCCAUUCUGACUCGGAAGAAGAGGGGGGGACGAAGGGAUUGUGACCGACUCUAAUCCAACCAUGACAGAACCAACAGACAAUCACAACUGUUUUGAACUCAUGGAACCCGAGACAGAAGCAGUACAACAUCCACCUCCAUGACGGGCGGAUCCACGCCAGCCACUGCAAGAAGCUGCUGGACUAUCAAGUGCAAUGAUCAGGUGCAUUGUUUCUAUAUACACUUGUUGUUUAAUGUAUUUUGGAUACUGUUAUGAGGAGUCACAUUCGAAUUUACUGUUCAAGAUGCAUUUACAAUUAGCAAAAACAGCAAAUAGGUCCAACUGCUGGGUGUGCUCCAAACCCCCUCCGAGCCAGAGCAUCCCGGCAAUGGCGGCAGUACAUGCUCUUUAUGACAUCAGGGUGGGCAUGAGAAAGUUUAGUCCUUCAGGUAGAUCAGCGGAACGCCAUCUGUCCAUAGAAUUUAAUCAGACAUUCUUAGAUGGUAAUGUCACCUAUGGUCUUGAUGUCAGCCCCGAGGCUUGUACUAGACUUAGCAGACCCGUGUGGGUAUCCGGUCAAUUAGGCCAGUCCGGGAUUUGUUUUAAUAUCAGCUCUGGUUUUGGAGCCAAGUCCCUGGGGAGGACCGAAUGCCCAUCUGGGAUAACCAUCCAGAUCGACCAUAGAAUCCCUGACAAUAACAACCUAACCACCAGACAUGAUUAUGUCUGCUGGGGGGGAGGGUGUGACAUUCAGGAGGGUGCAGCAAUCCCAUUAUCCAUCCAAUUGUUGCGCAAUGCCCGUAACCGUAACCCCAAUGACCUUUGUGUCUCAUUAACUGGGCCCUAUUACUUUUUGUGCGGCCAGGCUGCCUAUAGAGCCGUUCCCCCGAAUACUAGAGGGUCAUGCUCCUUAGUCAGGUUAGUCCCUGCCUCCUACAUUGCCGACGGUCACAAGGACUUGAUGGUGCAGAGGAGGGUAAGUGUGGGAAGAAGGACCAGGAGAGAGCUAUUCUACACAGGGGACCGUGCAAGCAGCUAAAUAAUUUUUCCAUCAUAAUGGACGAGAUGUUUAAUGAGACAGUCGAAGCCAUGAGAGAAAUUUCUUCUGAACAACGACAGCUGAAGACCCUUAUGCUUCAGCAGAAAAUGGCUCUCGACUAUCUUUUAGCAUCAAAGGGGGGUUUCUGUGAGUUUAUCGGGGAGGAUUGCUGUACCUGGGUGGAAGAUACUGGGGACAAGGUCAGGCCCAUCUUGACAAGGUGAAAGCAUUACAGGGACAAGCAUGCGCUAUUGCAGAGGAGGGUUGGAACCCCUUUAAAGGUUUAGGGGGCUUCGGUGAGAUGUUGUUUUCUAUUGGAUCAUGGCUUAAAGAAGUUGGAGUGUAUGUCCUGAUGCUGCUCUUUCUUUUCCUCCUCUAUGUGACGGCGAGAAUGACCUGUUGUUUGGUGAACCAAGUUGCAAGGAGCCGUGCAGAGGACCAUGUGAUGAUUCCAUAAAGAGCCAUCGCCUGAAGCAUCCGGAACCCUUUACCUCAGGAAGAUCAGCACAGGAAGAACCACCACCUUUUUU
Xenopus laevis (African clawed frog) is the source of this 2435-nucleotide long non-coding RNA. RefSeq lists it as uncharacterized. The record is from RefSeq and is a predicted model, not a curated record. The transcript has 2 exons. Lineage: Eukaryota; Metazoa; Chordata; Amphibia; Anura; Pipidae.